Molecule: ribosomal RNA, 495 nt
Filed under: uncultured bacterium
Lineage: Bacteria
Description: bacterial SSU rRNA
Rfam family: Bacterial small subunit ribosomal RNA
Source: RNAcentral
CGAUAUUCGACGAGUUUGAUCAUGGCUCAGAAUCAACGCUGGCGGCGUGCCUCAGACAUGCAAGUCGAACGAUUAAAGCUCUCUUCGGAGAGUGUAUAGAGUGGCGCACGGGUGAGUAACACGUAAGUAAUCUACCCUCGAGUGGGGAAUAACAACCGGAAACGGUUGCUAAUACCGCAUAAUGCAGCGGCACCGCAAGGUGACAGUUGUUAAAGAUUUAUCGCUUGAGGAGGAGCUUGCGGCAGAUUAGCUAGUUGGUAGGGUAACGGCUUACCAAGGCUACGAUCUGUAACCGGUCUAAGAGGACGGUCGGUCACACUGACACUGAAUAACGGGUCAGACUCCUACGGGAGGCAGCAGUCGGGAAUUUUGGGCAAUGGGCGAAAGCCUGACCCAGCAACGCCGCGUGAAGGAUGAAGUAUUUCGGUAUGUAAACUUCGAAAGAAUAGGAAGAAUUAAUGACGGUACUAUUUAUAAGGUCCGGCUAACUACGUG